RNAcentral lists this ribosomal RNA (492 nucleotides) under uncultured bacterium. RNAcentral describes it as "partial 16S ribosomal RNA". It matches the Rfam family "Bacterial small subunit ribosomal RNA", at positions 29 to 507 of the family's 1533-position model. The record is from RNAcentral.
AGUGAACGCUGGCGGUAGGCCUAACACAUGCAAGUCGAACGGCAGCACAGUAAGAGCUUGCUCUUACGGGUGGCGAGUGGCGGACGGGUGAGGAAUACAUCGGAAUCUACUUUUUCGUGGGGGAUAACGUAGGGAAACUUACGCUAAUACCGCAUACGACCUACGGGUGAAAGCAGGGGAUCUUCGUACCUUGCGCGAUUGAAUGAGCCGAUGUCGGAUUAGCUAGUUGGCGGGGUAAAGGCCCACCAAGGCGACGAUCCGUAGCUGGUCUGAGAGGAUGACCAGCCACACUGGAACUGAGACACGGUCCAGACUCCUACGGGAGGCAGCAGUGGGGAAUAUUGGACAAUGGGCGCAAGCCUGAUCCAGACAUACCGCGUGGGUGAAGAAGGCCUUCGGGUUGUAAAGCCCUUUUGUUGGGAAAGAAAAGCAGCAGGUUAAUACCCCGCUGUUCUGACGGUACCCAAAGAAUAAGCACCGGCUAACUUCGUG